This is a long non-coding RNA of Bicyclus anynana (squinting bush brown), 483 nucleotides long. RefSeq lists it as uncharacterized. NCBI's taxonomy places the organism in Eukaryota, Metazoa, Arthropoda, Insecta, Lepidoptera, Nymphalidae. The transcript is spliced from 2 exons. The record is from RefSeq and is a predicted model, not a curated record.
UAUAUUUUAUUAAAUAUCUAAAAUUAAUAUUUUUUUCCAUUCUAAAUCUCUCAAUUCUCUCCGUCCACAGUUAGCAUUUUUAGGACGAAACUUUGCGAAGUGUUUUGUUUGUAAACAAUGAACUCUGUUAAAAAGAGUAAUAAAUAAUAUAUUCUUUGCAAUGAACCUAUAAAGUCAAAACAAUGAAGUUAAUUGAGUGCUAUUAAUCGAUUUAUAUAGGAUGCUGAGACUUGGACUCUGAGAGAAAGAUAUUUGGAAUAUGCCCUAUAACUGCAGACUCCAAUAUUGCAAAAAGCACCUGCAAUACAGUGGAAUAACAUAUUGGUGUGCUGAAGAAAAGAUGGCAAAGGCUUUUAGCUGAUAGGACAUUGUACUGAUGACCCUGUUAUCUGGUCAAAUCAUAAAUGUGUGUGUAUUAUCAAAAUAUUUGCAUAGAUUGUGAAAUGCUGAUGAUAUUUGAAAAUAAAAGAAUACUUACUUCGC